AGAACGAACGCUGGCGGCAGGCUUAACACAUGCAAGUCGAGCGCCCCGCAAGGGGAGCGGCAGACGGGUGAGUAACGCGUGGGAACAUACCCUCCGGUUCGGAAUAGCUCAGGGAAACUUGGAUUAAUACCGGAUACGGCCUAGCGGCGAAAGAUUCAUCGCCGGAGGAUUGGCCCGCGUUCGAUUAGCUAGUUGGUGAGGUAACGGCUCACCAGGGCGACGAUCGAUAGCUGGUCUGAGAGGAUGAUCAGCCACAUUGGGACUGAGACACGGCCCAAACUCCUACGGGAGGCAGCAGUGGGGAAUAUUGGACAAUGGGCGCAAGCCUGAUCCAGCCAUGCCGCGUGAGUGAUGACGGCCUUAGGGUUGUAAAGCUCUUUCGCUAGGGACGAUAAUGACGGUACCUAGACAAGAAGCCCGGCUAACUUCGUGCCAGCAGCCGC
RNAcentral lists this ribosomal RNA (443 nucleotides) under uncultured bacterium. Its description in RNAcentral is "SSU rRNA". It matches the Rfam family "Bacterial small subunit ribosomal RNA", at positions 26 to 518 of the family's 1533-position model. The record is from RNAcentral.